AGAGUUUGAUCCUGGCUCAGGAUGAACGCUGGCGGCGUGCCUAACACAUGCAAGUCGAACGAAGCACCUUACCUGAUUCUUCGGAUGAAGGUCUGGUGACUGAGUGGCGGACGGGUGAGUAACGCGUGGGUAACCUGCCCUGUACAGGGGGAUAACAGUUGGAAACGGCUGCUAAUACCGCAUAAGCGCACGAGAGGACAUCCUCUUGUGUGAAAAACUCCGGUGGUACAGGAUGGACCCGCGUCUGAUUAGCUGGUUGGCAGGGUAACGGCCUACCAAGGCGACGAUCAGUAGCCGGUCUGAGAGGAUGAACGGCCACAUUGGAACUGAGACACGGUCCAAACUCCUACGGGAGGCAGCAGUGGGGAAUAUUGCACAAUGGGGGAAACCCUGAUGCAGCAACGCCGCGUGAGUGAAGAAGUAUUUCGGUAUGUAAAGCUCUAUCAGCAGGGAAGAUAAUGACGGUACCUGACUAAGAAGCUCCGGCUAAAUACGUGCCAGCAGCCGCGGU
RNAcentral lists this ribosomal RNA (511 nucleotides) under uncultured Gram-positive bacterium. RNAcentral describes it as "bacterial SSU rRNA". It matches the Rfam family "Bacterial small subunit ribosomal RNA", at positions 8 to 521 of the family's 1533-position model. The record is from RNAcentral.